RNAcentral lists this transfer RNA (89 nucleotides) under Candidatus Moranella endobia PCIT. It matches the Rfam family "tRNA". Rfam says of the family: Transfer RNA (tRNA) molecules are approximately 80 nucleotides in length. Lineage: Bacteria; Pseudomonadati; Pseudomonadota; Gammaproteobacteria; Enterobacterales; Enterobacteriaceae. The record is from Rfam by way of RNAcentral.
GGUGAGGUAGCCAAGAGGCUGAAGGCGCUCCCCUGCUAAGGGAGUAUACAGUAAAAGCUGUAUCGAGGGUUCGAAUCCCUCCCUCACCG